Molecule: ribosomal RNA, 460 nt
Filed under: uncultured bacterium
Lineage: Bacteria
Description: partial 16S ribosomal RNA
Rfam family: Bacterial small subunit ribosomal RNA
Source: RNAcentral
CCUACGGGUGGCAGCAGUGAGGAAUAUUGGUCAAUGGCCGGAAGGCUGAACCAGCCAAGCCGCGUGAAGGACGACGGUGCCAAGCAUUGUAAACUUCUUUUGUCAAGGGACAAAAUCAGGCUCGUGAGCCUGAUCGCGGGUACCUGAAGAAAAAGCACCGGCUAAAUCCGUGCCAGCAGCCGCGGUAAUACGGAGGAUGCGGGCGUUAUCCGGAUUUAUUGGGUUUAAAGGGUGCGUAGGCGGGAGCGCAAGUGAGAUGUGAAAACUCAGGGCUCAACCCUGGGCCUGCAUUUGAAACUGUGUGUCUUGAGUGCUGGAGAGGCAAUCGGAAUUCCGUGUGUAGCGGUGAAAUGCGUAGAUAUACGGAGGAACACCAGUGGCGAAGGCGGAUUGCUGGACAGUAACUGACGCUGAGGCGCGAAAGCGUGGGGAGCAAACAGGAUUAGAUACCCGGGUAGUC